Gossypium raimondii (Peruvian cotton) is the source of this 87-nucleotide non-coding RNA. NCBI's taxonomy places the organism in Eukaryota, Viridiplantae, Streptophyta, Magnoliopsida, Malvales, Malvaceae. The record is from Rfam.
CACGUCAGCGCGACCUGCUGACGUGGAAGGAAAUCGCACCCUCAAGGACGCGAUUUCCUUCCUCGUCAGUAGGUCGCGCUGACGUGG